This 427-nucleotide ribosomal RNA is filed under the name uncultured bacterium. RNAcentral's name for it is "bacterial SSU rRNA". It matches the Rfam family "Bacterial small subunit ribosomal RNA", at positions 355 to 775 of the family's 1533-position model. The record is from RNAcentral.
UGGGGAAUCUUGCGCAAUGGGCGAAAGCCUGACGCAGCAACGCCGCGUGGAGGAAGAAGGCCUUCGGGUUGUAAACUCCUGUUAGGGGGAAAGAAGGCACCCGGGUGAAUAGCCCAAGGGCUGACGGUACCCCCAGAGGAAGCCACGGCUAACUACGUGCCAGCAGCCGCGGUAAUACGUAGGUGGCGAGCGUUGUCCGGAAUUAUUGGGCGUAAAGAGCGCGUAGGCGGCUUGCCAGGUCCGACGUGAAACCCCGGGGCUCAACUCCGGACGUGCAUCGGAAACCGGCUUGCUAGAGUCUGGGAGAGGGGAGUGGAAUUCCUGGUGUAGCGGUGAAAUGCGCAGAUAUCAGGAGGAAUACCGGUAGCGAAGGCUGCUCCCUGGAACAGUACUGACGCUGAGGCGCGAAAGCUAGGGGAGCGAACAG